This 496-nucleotide ribosomal RNA is filed under the name uncultured bacterium. RNAcentral describes it as "partial 16S ribosomal RNA". It matches the Rfam family "Bacterial small subunit ribosomal RNA", at positions 29 to 507 of the family's 1533-position model. The record is from RNAcentral.
AUGAACGCUGGCGGCGUGCCUAAUACAUGCAAGUCGAGCGAACAGACGAGGAGCUUGCUCCUCUGACGUUAGCGGCGGACGGGUGAGUAACACGUGGUUAACCUACCUAUAAGACUGGGAUAACUUCGGGAAACCGGUGCUAAUUCCGGAUAAUUUUUUUAACCGCAUGUUUCAAUAGUUAAAGUCGGUUUUUCUGUCACUUAUAGAUGUAUCCGCGCCGCAUUACCUAGUUGGUAAGGUAACGGCUUACCAAGGCAACGAUGCGUAGCCGACCUGAGAGGGUGAUCGGCCACACGGGAACUGAGACACGGUCCAGACACCUACGGGAGGCAGCAGUAGGGAAUAUUCCGCAAUGGGCGAAAGCCUGACGGAGCAAAGCGGCGUGAGGGAUGAAGGUCUUCGGAUCGUAAAACGAUGAUAUUAGGGAAGAACAAAUGUGUAAGUAACUAUGCACGUAUUGACGGUACCGAAUCAGAAAGCAACGGCUAACUACGUG